AUAUUGGACAAUGGGCGAAAGCCUGAUCCAGCUAUGCCGCGUGUGUGAAGUAGGUCUUCGGAUCGUAAAGCACUUUAAGUUGGGAGGAAGGGGUUGAAGCUAAUACCUUCAAUCUUUGACGUUACCAACAGAAUAAGAACCGGCUAACUCUGGACCGGCAGCCGCGGUAAUACAGAGGGUGCAAGCGUUAAUCGGAAUUACUGGGCGUAAAGCGCGCGUAGGUGGGUCGUUAAGUUGGAAGUGAAAGCCCCGGGCUUAACCUGGGAACUGCAUUCCAAACUGGGUAUCUAGAGUGCAGGAGAGGAAAGCGGAAUUCCUAGUGUAGCGGUGAAAUGCGUAGAUAUAGGAAGGAACACCAGUGGCGAAGGCGACUACCUGGACUGAUACUGACACGGAGGUGCGAAAGCGUGGGGAGCAAACAGG
Molecule: ribosomal RNA, 423 nt
Filed under: uncultured bacterium
Lineage: Bacteria
Description: partial 16S ribosomal RNA
Rfam family: Bacterial small subunit ribosomal RNA
Source: RNAcentral